AGGCCAUAACCCAAGGGACAGUCAAAUGCAACUUUUCUGGUGUGGCACUUGGAGACUCAUGGAUUUCACCACUGGACUCUGUUAUGACAUGGGGACCAUAUCUCUACACCACUUCCCUCCUGGAUGAUUACGGCCUGGCAGAUGUCAGUAAGGCAGCAGAGGCAGUGAAGCAAGCCGUGGAGCAGGGCCAGUUUCUUAAAGCGACUGAGCUGUGGUCUAUGACUGAGUCUGCUGUAGAGCGGGUUUGUACAACACUACAUGAUUUGGAGAAAAUGCUUGCUGGAUAUUUAAUGUAUUGUCUAAUCUUAAAUUGCUUUAUGGAAGUGGUGUUCCA
Molecule: non-coding RNA, 334 nt
Organism: Neolamprologus brichardi
Lineage: Eukaryota; Metazoa; Chordata; Actinopteri; Cichliformes; Cichlidae
Source: RefSeq, a predicted model, not a curated record